UGUCUGUUAAUAAAUUGAUGCCGUAGCUGAAUUAUAUUUUUUGUUUUAAACCACUUUGUGAUGACUGUAUAAGGUCAAACAAUGCAAUAUCCAAGAGAAAGUUCUCUCAUAAAUAAGCUUGUUGGUUCUGUUUGAUUUUUCUUGAACAAUCUUUGUGAGCCAGAAUUGCAAAAGCACUGGAUAUGAUUUCCUCACUCUUUUUUGUAACCAAUGUGUCCUCCUCUUUUAAUAUUCCCCAGUAGUUGCAGCUAUUCUCAGUUACUUGCAAUCUUGCACAGUGGAUAUGUUGGAUGGAAAAACAGCGAUGAAGGUCUGUUUGGGGUCAGGCUGUCUGUAAUGUUUUCAUUUCCUUUUUGUGAAUUUCAGGACUUAAAGGGGAAUUGCACUUUACAGAACUUCUGCUUCUCAUGACCCUUCUAAGGAAUGUCCUUCUAAGGAAUGUGUCACCCUUCAUUUUUCGAUUAAUUAUUUAAUUUUAAAUGUGUAACGUUAGAAACAAAGACCUAUUUCUUUUAGCGCACAUAGUAGUACGGUUUCCGGUUUUUUCUUCUUCGAUUUCUUUUCGCGGCAAAAUCGGAAAGAAGUGAAGCAAAACAUUUUGUUAACUUAGCAUUGAAGGCGAACAAACUAACGUCUGCUAGCUUUUGUUUGAUGCGAUAUCGGUGUAAUAAUGAGGUGCAUUGUAUCCGGUUGUUAUAAUGCCCCUGUUAAACUUGACUUGAAAGCACAUUUUCAUUGUUUUCCAUGCGAUGCAACUUUAUGCCAGACAUGGCUGGAUGUAAUCAGACACCCCGACAUAACAGCCGAAGAAGUUCACAAACGAGGACUAAAGGUAUGCAGCGACCACUUUGAAGGCACUGACUACCAAGCCAACCGCCUGAAGCCAGGAGCUGUACCUACCGUUUUCCCAUCGUUGGUCAAACCGCUCGAGGUACCCCCACAUCAGAAGUCGCGCAAUGAUAUGCAUCCUCGAGUUCGACACUAAACUGCCUGGGUCUACUUCCUGCAUUUGUAAAGGAAAACAACAACACGGUGUAAAAUAUUAACAUAAUGAAAUAACUAAUCGAAAAAUGAAGGGCGACACAUUCAUUAGAAGGACAAUAUCAGUCAUGAGAGGCAGAAGUGUUAUAAAGUGCAAUUCCCCUUUAAGCCAUUCAUUUAAGUCAUUUAAUGGCAAAGGAAACACAUCUGGUUCCCAAGGCCUAAACUGGCUGCUGAUUGAAAGGAAACCAUAAAAACCUGUGGACACUGCAGUGCUACCACACUCCUUUAUAUGUGCAUCCUAGCCUGUGGUGUUGGCAGGGUUUCUCUGAAUUAAACCACUGAAAGUACAAUGAAAGCAUCAAGGACAAAAAAAAAUCCCAUUCUGCUUGCUGGUCAGGAGAAGUAGAAAGCCUCCUUUGCUCACCAAAAAUGGAAAAGAUGGUGGCAAAGACCAAGUCCAUAUUACCAAGAGUCUGGUUAAAGGGGCAGUUCUUCAAAAAAUAAAAAAUAAAUAUUUCCACUUAUCUAGUGAGCUAUCCAAUUUCCCAGAGAUUUGAUGAGAUUUCUAGAUACUGCUUAUGCUGCAACAAUAUUUUAAAGCAAUAUUGACAAUGCUCCCCAGAAUACUGGCGUUCUUUGGUUUAAACUUUGCGUGGAUAUGCACAACUAGCAUACUUAAGUAGAAAGCAGUUUUUGAUGAAACCAUGCACAAGGUCUGUAGAUGUUCAUGAGUAACCGUGUCAUAUUUGUUAAGAGACAUUGCUGACCAGUUUUUCAGACGUUAAUAGUUGCCGCUUUGAGCGCCACAAACAUCAGCACUGUUGAGGUCUGUUAUAUCAGGGUGAGCUGCGGCUAGAUAUGCAGAUAUCUAGAAAACUUGUCUAAUCUGAGCUAAUCUAUCUGGAUAGAUAGAUCGAACUCUGGAUAACUGCCUGUUUAAUGUAAUGAAAUAACAAAAAGGACACUGCAAAUCACCUGUCUGAUAACAUGCAUCACAUAACUUUUUCAUCAUUGUUUUGCAAGUGAAAACAGCUAGGCAAUCAAAAAAAUUUAAAAAUUAUUUAUACUUAGUUUUAUUUAUUUAAGUUCUACUUCUCUAACUAAUAAGGUGGUUGUCCAUGGUACUAACUUGCACAGUGGGUAAGGAACUGGGCUUGUAACCAAAAGGUCCUAGGUUCGAUUCCUGGGUAGGCCACUAUUGUUGUACCCUUGAGCAUGGUAUUUAACCUGCAUUGUUUCAGUAUAUAUCCAGCUGUAUAAAUGGAUGCAAGUUGCUCUGGAUAACAGCGUCUGCUAAAAUGCCUGUAAUGUGUCUCUUAGAGGGUAUAAAGGGUUACUGUCAAUAAUGCUUUUUUAAGUGUUGACUGUCAGCAGGCAUACUUUUUCUGCAGAAAUAAAGACCCUUAUAACUGGA
Anguilla rostrata (American eel) is the source of this 2398-nucleotide long non-coding RNA. RefSeq lists it as uncharacterized. The transcript has 2 exons. The record is from RefSeq and is a predicted model, not a curated record. NCBI's taxonomy places the organism in Eukaryota, Metazoa, Chordata, Actinopteri, Anguilliformes, Anguillidae.